UGCCCAAUACAUGUUUGUCGAACGCGUNGGCCCAAUUGAUUGAUGGUGCUUGCACCUGAUUGAUUUUGGUCGNUUNUAGUGGCGGACGGGUGAGUAACACGUAGGUAACCUGCCCAGAAGCGGGGGACAACAUUUGGAAACAGAUGCUAAUACCGCAUAACANCGUUGUUCGCAUGAACAACGCUUAAAAGAUGGCUUCUCGCUAUCACUUCUGGAUGGACCUGCGGUGCAUUAGCUUGUUGGUGGGGUAACGGCCUACCAAGGCGAUGAUGCAUAGCCGAGUUGAGAGACUGAUCGGCCACAAUGGGACUGAGACACGGCCCAUACUCCUACGGGAGGCAGNAGUAGGGAAUCUUCACAAUGGGCGCAAGCCUGAUGGAGCAACACCGNGUGAGUGAAGAAGGNUUUCGGCUCGUAAAGCUCUGUUGUUAAAGAAGAACACGUNUGAGAGUAACUGUUCAUACGUUGACGGNAUUUAACCAGAAAGUCACGGNUAACUACGUGCCANCAGCCCGNUGUAAUACCGUAAGUGGCAAGCGUUAUCCCGGAUUUAUUGGGCGUAAAAGAGAGUGCANGCNGUUUUCUAAAGUCUGAUGUGAAAGCCUUCNNCUUAACNCGGANAAGUGCAUCGGAAACUGGGAUAACUUGGAGUUGCAUGAANAANGGUAGUGGAACUCCAUGUGUAGCGGUGGAAAUGCCUAUUNUAUAUGGGAAGGAACACCCAGUNGGCCNAANGCGGGUACCUGGUCUGGCAACUUGACCNCUNAANAC
This 771-nucleotide ribosomal RNA is filed under the name Limosilactobacillus fermentum. Its description in RNAcentral is "Lactobacillus fermentum partial 16S small subunit ribosomal RNA". It matches the Rfam family "Bacterial small subunit ribosomal RNA", at positions 45 to 752 of the family's 1533-position model. The record is from RNAcentral. Lineage: Bacteria; Bacillati; Bacillota; Bacilli; Lactobacillales; Lactobacillaceae.